AGUGAUAGAGGGAGAAUUGCAAAAAAAAAAAAAGUUUCCAAUGGUGGUUGGUGUGGCGGUGGAGGCCAUAUAGUGUACGUUAAAAAAAUCUGCUUUAAUUAGGAUUCACUUUUGAGAUAUUAAUUUUAAAAAAAAUGCAUUUGUUGAUAGUGGAUUUAUGGCAUUAUACAUGGGAGGCAGUUUUCUCAUAUGGUAACAAAAUCCCACCCCCUUUUUCCUUACUAUAUAUCUUUCUAUAUUCUAUAUAUAGAAGCGUUCUACGUUCACCUCUUUAGUUUGAAUUUGUCCAUCUAUCUCUCUCUCUCUCUCUAUCUCUAUAUAUGUGUGUGAUUGUGUGCCUUGUGUUUCACCAGAUUAAUUCGUUCUCUUUGCAAGAAGAUCAAUAGAGGAUUUGAGUCACUCAUCAAUGGAAGCAAGAAACGGAGUCGAAAGGGAAGGGAGAUGCAUCAAAGAAGAAGGUGACAUGGGUUAUGCCUGGCUCCCUGUAUGCCACAAGCAAAGACCAAUCUUUCGUUUUAGAUUGGCUGUUGCCGGUGGCGUGCGAGGAGCCAAGCAUACUCUCUCUUUCUCUAUCUGUGUGUAUGCGUGCGUGCGUGCGUUGAUCAUUCUUCUGCUAAACUUUUAUGUAUUACUUCGAUGCUUCUACAUGUCCUUCUGAUAUUUAUUUUCCCUUGUUCAUAGAGUAUUUUCUCAUCUUGAAAACCAGGUAUGAUCAAUUAUACAGAAAGCCUUUUAUUUUGUUCGAAAAAAUGAAAGCAAGAAGCACUUUUGUAUCCAUUGAUCACCAGAAUUUUGUUUAUCAAAACAAAUAAUAUAUGCCCCAGAUCACUGCUUAUUCUUUGCAUGUGCAUCAGGUCUAAGAGAACUCACAUGUAUACUGCUUGCAAAUUAAAUGGUUUCAGCAUGAUCAUCGCAAUUAAGAGAGGAAUAUUGAUGGUGUGGCCUCUCUUCUUGCAAGGAAUAUAUUUCUCCCAUGAACUUUAAUUUGAUGAUUCGAUUCCCACUUAGCUACCAUUCUAUGCAGCAGAAAAGCUUAAGGGCCAUACUCUGAUCAAGAACUACUUUCUCAAGGCUCGGAGAGAGCAUCAUUGUAAUUUGCUCAUGUUUUUAUUCCUCCAUUGUGCUUUACAGUGUAACCUUUUUUCCUCAACUACGGAAGAACAUUAAUAUUUUUUUCCUGGGCCUGUGUACAUAUUUAUAUUUGUAGUUAAACUUUAGUUGCUCAUUUGUUA
Molecule: long non-coding RNA, 1232 nt
Organism: Populus nigra (black poplar)
Lineage: Eukaryota; Viridiplantae; Streptophyta; Magnoliopsida; Malpighiales; Salicaceae
Exons: 2
Source: RefSeq, a predicted model, not a curated record